AUUCAUUCCCUCAAAUCGAUUCCCAACCGACGGUCGUGACAAGGGGCUCACGAUGACGCCCCACUGCUCAGUCCCUUCAGCUUUGCUCGUAUCGCUGCUGGCGUGUCCCCUGAUAUUGGCUACAACAAGGUUGGACGGAGUUGCCGCAGAGACUGGUGACUCCUGGCGGCCACGCGUGGUCGUUUCAACGCAAGGCGAGGUGUGGCCACAGCCCAUGAACCAGACCAAAAGCUUCAAUACUCUCUCUUUAGAUGCAAGCACAUUCUCGUUCCAAUACGAGGGUGCCUGCUCCGUGGUGGAGCAGGCAUUGAAGCGCUACCAGCGUGAAAUAUUAUUCCAAAACUGCACGAAACCUCAAACAUCAAGAGGAGUUAGACGCAGACAUAGCCGGACUGCUUUGAACUCUCGCGCCCAUUUCCACGACGGUCAUCUCGAUGUUUUAAAAGUUAUUGUGUCUGAUCGGUGCGAAGAGAUUCCUGAU
Molecule: RNA transcript, 481 nt
Organism: Rhipicephalus sanguineus (brown dog tick)
Lineage: Eukaryota; Metazoa; Arthropoda; Arachnida; Ixodida; Ixodidae
Exons: 3
Source: RefSeq, a predicted model, not a curated record